GAGUUUGAUCCUGGCUCAGGAUGAACGCUGGCGGCGUGCCUAAUACAUGCAAGUCGAGCGAACUGNUUAGAAGCUUGCUUCUAUGACGUUAGCGGCGGACGGGUGAGUAACACGUGGGCAACCUGCCUGUAAGACUGGGAUAACUUCGGGAAACCGAAGCUAAUACCGGAUAGGAUCUUCUCCUUCAUGGGAGAUGAUUGAAAGAUGGUUUCGGCUAUCACUUACAGAUGGGCCCGCGGUGCAUUAGCUAGUUGGUGAGGUAACGGCUCACCAAGGCAACGAUGCAUAGCCGACCUGAGAGGGUGAUCGGCCACACUGGGACUGAGACACGGCCCAGACUCCUACGGGAGGCAGCAGUAGGGAAUCUUCCGCAAUGGACGAAAGUCUGACGGAGCAACGCCGCGUGAGUGAUGAAGGCUUUCGGGUCGUAAAACUCUGUUGUUAGGGAAG
This 450-nucleotide ribosomal RNA is filed under the name Priestia megaterium. RNAcentral's name for it is "bacterial SSU rRNA". It matches the Rfam family "Bacterial small subunit ribosomal RNA", at positions 9 to 447 of the family's 1533-position model. Lineage: Bacteria; Bacillati; Bacillota; Bacilli; Caryophanales; Bacillaceae. The record is from RNAcentral.